This 301-nucleotide ribosomal RNA is filed under the name uncultured bacterium. Its description in RNAcentral is "partial 16S ribosomal RNA". It matches the Rfam family "Archaeal small subunit ribosomal RNA", at positions 459 to 760 of the family's 1478-position model. The record is from RNAcentral.
CAGCCGCCGCGGGAACACCAGCACCUCGAGUGGUCAGGAGGUUUAUUGGGCCUAAAGCAUCCGUAGCCGGUUGCAUAAGUUUUCGGUUAAAUCUAUGCGCUUAACGUAUAGGCCGCCGAAAAUACUGUGCAGCUAGGGAGUGGGAGAGGUACACGGUACUCGAUAGGAAGGGGUAAAAUCCUUUGAUCUAUUGAUGACUACCUGUGGCGAAGGCGGUGUACCAGAACACGUUCGACGGUGAGGGAUGAAAGCUGGGGGAGCAAACCGGAUUAGAGACCCCUGUAUCCCUGUCUCUUAUACA